AUCAGUGUUGAUAUCCUGUGAUUCAGUAAUGCAGUACCCCAGUACAGUAGUGAGUUUCGAGGACAGUAAAGUGGUAUCCGAGCUGUGGUAUCUGGAGUCGUUAUAAUUGUUAUAGUGGUUGUGAACUGUGCAUUCAUAUAUGUGUACUCGUUCGUUAUUCUCAUGAUUAUUCUGUUGAUUAAAUGUUCAUGCAUAAGCCCUUGCAUUUAGCCUUCCCUGCUUGCAU
This 226-nucleotide long non-coding RNA is filed under the name Capsicum annuum. RNAcentral describes it as "long non-coding RNA (CANN_LNC019451)". Lineage: Eukaryota; Viridiplantae; Streptophyta; Magnoliopsida; Solanales; Solanaceae. The record is from RNAcentral.